GGAAUCGUGCCUGAACACCCAAGGACUACUUUGAUAGAGUACACCACAGGGGAGAAACCCCCCUCGAUUCCC
This 72-nucleotide transfer RNA is filed under the name Homonota fasciata (South American marked gecko). RNAcentral's name for it is "tRNA-Ile". The record is from RNAcentral. Lineage: Eukaryota; Metazoa; Chordata; Lepidosauria; Squamata; Phyllodactylidae.